This 1030-nucleotide non-coding RNA is filed under the name Pongo abelii (Sumatran orangutan). The record is from RNAcentral. Lineage: Eukaryota; Metazoa; Chordata; Mammalia; Primates; Hominidae.
CCAUUCCAAGGGAGAAACUGAGAUCUGGGAGUUUUCUCUCAAUUGCAUUGUACUGAGGAAGAGGGCCUAUGAGAAUUUUACUAUCUGAGAAGCUGGUGGAGCCUAAAGACCUGAGGAUUUCUUCCUAGCUGCAGCAGAACACGAAUAUCAAUAAGUUCCAAUUGAAGAGCGGAUUCUUUUGCAAUUCAGGCAUGUGCCGGCGAUAACGGGCGAGUUGGCAUGAAGAGAGGCAGAGAUGGAUUAAUUAUGCAGAGAACAUGGAAAUUCUGCUUAUCAUCGGCUAGCAAAGGAGCCCGGCUCACAUAAUCAGCAAACGAAGGGAGAGGAAAAAAUAACAAUGCAAUGGCACCUUCCAGCCCAUCAUCAGGAUUUUUUCUACCCCCUUGUAAUUAAAAAAUAACAUACACUUAUAGCCCUAUCUCCUGUGCAGGCAAGGAGUGGAUGUCCACAAAAUAAUUGCACUGGGAUAUUAGAGCUGGCGACACGGGCUGUCCAUUCCAGCUUGCUCUCCUGCUCACCCUCUCUUUCUCUUUUGGCCUCUCAGGCACUUUGCUUCUGAACCUAGUCCAAAUCAGAGGGAUGUCUCAGGUGACAUUCUAGCUCGGUUUCCAAAAAUCCCAAAUUGGUACCUUAUCAUGAUCCAAGCAAACAUACAUACAUAUAUGAUAAAUAUUUGGAGGGCUGACUCUAGGGGAGGCUUUGGAACUGAUCACCUGUGGACUAUCUGGUCAGUUUCAUUUUUGAUGAAACAUGUCCAAAUAGCCUUCAUUUUGCAAAAUGGCUGGAUUAAAAUGGUGGCUGUGCAGCGGCUGUGCUAUCUUCUCAAAUCAUUUAACUUACCUACAAGUUUUUGUUUCUAUUCCCUUUGACAACUCAUUUUAUAAAUGUAAGUUAAUGAUUGCAAUGUUUGCACCUCAAAAUCAGAAUUCGCAAUUCUGUAUUGUCAUUGUAAAAUCUGACAGCUCAAUGCCUCGUAUUUCUCUAAAUGCCAAAAGACUACAAUGAACCAAGUUUAUUGCUUUAAAGAAAA